This 75-nucleotide transfer RNA is filed under the name Alphaproteobacteria bacterium. Its description in RNAcentral is "tRNA-Val". It matches the Rfam family "tRNA". Rfam says of the family: Transfer RNA (tRNA) molecules are approximately 80 nucleotides in length. Their secondary structure includes four short double-helical elements and three loops (D, anti-codon, and T loops). Lineage: Bacteria; Pseudomonadati; Pseudomonadota; Alphaproteobacteria. The record is from RNAcentral.
GGGUCGUUAGCUCAGCGGGAGAGCGCUACCUUGACAUGGUAGAGGUCACUGGUUCAAUCCCAGUACGACCCACCA